GAAUUUUCGUGCCAAAUUAGAGACAUGUUGUAAAUAUCUACUUUUUCUUUAUAAUUGGCAAUUACAUAUAAUUACUAUAGUAUUUUUCCAGUUUCUUGUUUGCAACUGUUAGUUUUCUUCUUUAGUUUGAGAACUGUAGUUGUUGUUGGGUUCCAAUGGUCUAGUCACUUACUGCUUGAAAGCUGAUAGCUUUUUUUGAUAAGCCAAGUAAGGAGUUUUAUUUAUGUAACAGAAAACACACUGAAGUACUAGAGCUGAGCCAGAAUACACCAAGGGGGAACAAAAAAAACAACCACCUUGAAAAAUAAGAGCAUACAGGUAGAGAAAAGUCAAGCAAGGCUGCCAGAAAAACUCCUAGCUGCCAUACUGAACCGUGAAGAAAGAGAAUGGAAAAAGAAACCAGAACGCAGCUCUUAUAACAACAUGAAAGACGAAAGAGCCCAAACAGAAGGGGAAACCAGCAUAUGAAAUCCCAAACUACUGGUUUAAACAGUGAGAUAACGUUCCCUUUUUUUUCUUGACUUUCUUCCAUCUUUUGAGAUCUUCUUGUUCCAUGGGAUGAAGAGGGAGCAAUCAGAAGACUAUGAACAAGGAUUUUGAACGAUCACAACAUUCUUCCCUUUUGUUUAAAGGUGAACCUUUCAAUUUUUUGCUGGUCUCAAAAGGGAUCAAAUCUAAAAUGAGAAUAGUCAAGACUCAAGACUUUCAUCACUUUGACUCAUUAGCAGGUAAAUCCACUUUAGAAUAAUGGCCCGAGAGGAAGAGGGAACGCUGUGGAUUUCUUGGCUAAUAAAUGCAUUCAUCCCAUCUGAAUAGUCUUCACCAUCAAUAAACUUGUUGAUCCUAUUAUUUUCAAAUCCAACGGCCUGGAUUUGAACUUGCUUGAGAAUUGUAUACUUGAAAGUAUUUGCCUAUUGCCAUACACCGCAGGAUUGUAUAGCUGGUCCUUCAUCAACUUUGGCAGCUUCUUCCUCCUUUU
This 979-nucleotide unclassified non-coding RNA is filed under the name Hevea brasiliensis (rubber tree). The record is from RNAcentral. Lineage: Eukaryota; Viridiplantae; Streptophyta; Magnoliopsida; Malpighiales; Euphorbiaceae.